AGAACCCAACAGGGAUUGCCCUAGUAACGGCGAGUGAAGCGGCAACAGCUCAAAUUUGAAAUCUGGCUCCUUUGGGGUCCGAGUUGUAAUUUGCAGAGGGAGCUUUUGGCGUCGGUCGUGGUCUAAGUUCCUUGGAACAGGACGUCACAGAGGGUGAGAAUCCCGUACGUGGCCGCCGGCCUUCGCCUUGUAAAGCCCCUUCGACGAGUCGAGUUGUUUGGGAAUGCAGCUCUAAAUGGGAGGUAAAUUUCUUCUAAAGCUAAAUACCCGCCAGAGACCGAUAGCGCACAAGUAGAGUGAUCGAAAGAUGAAAAGCACUUUGGAAAGAGAGUGAAAAAGCACGUGAAAUUGUUGAAAGGGAAGCGCUUGCGGCCAGACGUGCCCGCGGUUGAUCAUCCAGGCUCCAGCCUGGUGCACUCCUCCGCGGGCAGGCCAGCAUCAGUUCGGGCGGUCGGAUAAAGGCCUCUAUCACGUACCACCCCUCGGGGUGGCCUUAUAGGGGAGGCGCAACACGGCCAGCCCGGACUGAGGUUCCGCGCAUCUGCUAGGAUGCUGGCGUAAUGGCAGCAAGCGGCCCGUCUUGAAACACGGACCAAGGAGUCUAACAUCUAUGCGAGUGUUUGGGUGUCAAGCCCGAGCGCGCAAUGAAAGUGAACGGAGGUGGGAACCCUUACCGGUGCACCAUCGACCGAUCCUGAUGUCUUCGGAUGGAUUUGAGUAAGAGCAUAGCUGUUGGGACCCGAAAGAUGGUGAACUAUGCCUGAAUAGGGUGAAGCCAGAGGAAACUCUGGUGGAGGCUCGCAGCGGUUCUGACGUGCAAAUCGAUCGUCAAAUUUGG
RNAcentral lists this ribosomal RNA (838 nucleotides) under Torula sp. RNAcentral's name for it is "partial large subunit ribosomal RNA". It matches the Rfam family "Eukaryotic large subunit ribosomal RNA", at positions 60 to 914 of the family's 3401-position model. The record is from RNAcentral. Lineage: Eukaryota; Fungi; Ascomycota; Dothideomycetes; Pleosporales; Torulaceae.